Long non-coding RNA from Cucumis melo (muskmelon), 422 nucleotides. RefSeq lists it as uncharacterized. Lineage: Eukaryota; Viridiplantae; Streptophyta; Magnoliopsida; Cucurbitales; Cucurbitaceae. The transcript is spliced from 2 exons. The record is from RefSeq and is a predicted model, not a curated record.
UUUAAAUACACCCCUUUACAUUUUCUAGAACAUAUGCAUCAUAAUCAAAAAUUUCUCAUCAAAGCCUAAGGAUCCAUAUCUUCUAAGAGAUAUGGCAACCCAAAAGCUUGCUACGAUGUCAUUUGUUGUUUUGGUGAUAUUCACAUGCAUUGUAUCAACAACGAAAGGAGACGUUUUGAACGUGCAUUGUGUCCGACCAUGCUCUGAUACUUAUGACGAUGAGUCAUGUUAUAAUGAUUGCAUCCGAGAGAACCUUGGUGCUGGGUUUUGUUACCCAAAGCUACCUAGCACCGAUAAAGAUUGUUGUUGCAAUGUUUGACCAAGAAAAGAGAAAUAUUUGUUUUUUCUUAAUAUAAGAUUGUGUAACAUUUUAUUGAAAUAUUUAAAGAAAAUUUAAUAUUUUACAAGAUCUCUUUCGUUCA